This 7425-nucleotide unclassified non-coding RNA is filed under the name Ceratitis capitata (Mediterranean fruit fly). Its description in RNAcentral is "uncharacterized LOC101460563, transcript variant X1". Lineage: Eukaryota; Metazoa; Arthropoda; Insecta; Diptera; Tephritidae. The record is from RNAcentral.
CGCUUUUUCGCUUUCUAUCUGCCCGCCAGUGUUUUCGUAUCCAAUCACGUAACGUCCUUGCUGGAUGAUUUAGCCGUGCUAUUGUCAUAUCGAAUAAACGUUUUUACUUCGUUGUCCGGGUGCGAGCUAAAUAGGAGAUUGUCUCUUACUCCAGUGCGAGAUGUCGGCAUAACAGAUCGUCAAACAAUCAAUCAGCUAGUCCGUCAGCAAGCAAGCAAGCGUGAAAAGUCCGAGUAACAGUGAAUUGGUGACAAUUAUUGGCAGCAGAAAAGUCAGUUCAGCCAGCGUGGCAAAGAGUCUAACAUUGUACCUGUGUGCGUGUGCGUGCGUGACAAGCCCCGAUUUGUGAUUUAAUUUUGAAGUGAAAAAAAAAACAAAUUAAUAUAAAUAAAUUCCGCUGUCCACAGUCGAACAUUGCAUUUUAAGCAAACAAUAAAGAACAAACAACAACAACAAAUCAUAGCGAACAGAAAUAGUGACGAGUAAUAAACAGGAGAAUAAACGAGAAUUUUGUGAAACACAGGCGCUAAGUGAGUAAAAUUAACAAAUCGAACUGAAAGUGCCAGCGGCGAUUUCGAAAAGCAAAGCAAAAGAUUUAAAACUAAAACCGAAGUGUAGUAUAACAAACGUUUUAUAUUCCUCUCCAAAAGUAUUUUUGUUACUCUCGUUGUUGUUGUGAUUAAAUCGAUUAUUGCAUUGCAUAGAAAAAUGUCACCACUGAAGGAACGUACACUGCUGCUAUUAGGCAUCCUAUGCUGUUUACAAGCAACCACUGCGCUGAUGUGCUACGACUGCAACAGCGCCUAUGAUCCCAAUUGUGGUGAUCCAUUUGAGCCAUACACGCUUGGCAAAGUCAAUUGCACUCAACAAGAGGUUAAGGAGCAUCUCAAGGAUAAAUACACUCAACCAGUGUUGUGCCGUAAAACCACACAAAAGGUUUAUGGUAAAGUACGCGUAGUACGCGGUUGUGGCUACAUAACCGAUAAGUCCGAUGAUGGUUUGUGCUUGAAACGCUCCGGCACUCACGAUGUGCAAGCCAUCUAUUGUGCGUGCACUGGUGAAUUGUGCAACCACGCCGCCUCCACAUUGUACCAGAGCAACAAUCAUCCCAUAAUAUCGGCAUUACCCUAUACAUUAGCUGCGUUCUUCGUAUGGAUGGCUACAGUUUCGAGUCAUUUCAAUAUCAAUACUAUUGGUGCUGUGCAAAAUUCAUAAAUGCAACAAAAAAUAUAUAGAAAAGCAAGCCUACAUGCAUAUAUAUAUAAUAUAUAAAAAUAAGUAUGUAUAUAUGUGCGUACAUGCGUACAUACGUAAGUGUGUAUGUAUGUGUAUAACGGAAAUUAAGUCGAGAAAUCUUUGUGUUUCCCCGGUUUGAGUUUUGAGUGUAGUCAUUAAAAAUCAACAAAACUUACAUACAUACAAACAAGCAAUCAUACCCCACACAAAUGCAUAAACAGAUAUUGGAAAAAUAAAAGUAAACAGAAAAACCAAAAACAGAAAAAAAGCAACAACAAACAAUACAAAUAAAGGCGCAGAAGGAUGGAGACGAAUAGAGAGAUGGCGAAUAAAUACCUAUGUUGAAGAAUAGUCCAGCUGUAUACGAAUUUGUUGCAUAACUGUAUAAUUUGAGCAAGGUAUGCAGUUUUCCUUGCUAUGCGAAAUUUAGUUAAGUUAAGUUGGCGAAUAAUGGAGAUUUGAUUUGGAAUUAACUGUGUCCUCCAUAUGUUAAUUUAAACGUGAGCUAGAAGCAAAAUCAUUCAACUUCAAAAUUCCAUGCAAAUUAACGGUAACACAACAAACCGAUUAUUUGAAUGUAGCACAGUUCAACGCAUUUGGCUAGAGAGUAGAUAACCACAUUCUGUCAGUAUUACAAAAAUUAUGCGUAACGCCUAAAAAUAUGCCACACAAUUUUAUUUGUUUCGUUCAAAUGUUGGUAAUGCGAUUACAUGCGAUUCCAAAUUAUUGGGAGUAAUUUAUCUGUUAAGUAAUCAGGUAAUCAAAUAACAAGCAACUUAUUAUAACUUUUAUUAAUUUAAAUAUUCAUAAAUUAAUUUUACUGACUAUGCCAGGAUGGCUGCAGCCUAGACAGCGCACUGUGCUAAAUGUACUUGUAAAAUUAUGUGCGUGUGCAUGUAGUUGAUGUUAAACAUGCGUAUACAUAAAUAUAUAUAUAUAUGUAUAUAUAUAUAUAUAUAUAUAUAUGUAUGUACGAGUAAUAUUGUAAGCUAUUAAGCAAAAACUUUAACAGACAAAAAAAAUACCAUACAAGGAAAACAAAAACAACUGCCGUCGUAACAUGUCUUGCGUUUAGAAUAAAACAUAAAAUUUUAGUAAUAUUUUCACGUUGUAUAUAUGUAUGUACAUACGUAUAUUCGUGUAUGUGUGAACUAUAGUUUUGAAUUUAACAUAUAUAUAUGUAUGUAUUUGAAGAUUUUCAAGAACUUCUUGUGUGAGCGCCGGUAUUGUGAAGGCUUAAAAAAUUAUAAAAGAGCUGAAAGAAAAGAAAUAAAUGUAUGCCCUUUUCAACUAAACUUUCGUCACAGCAAGCAAACUUCUCGUUACAUAAACGUCAAGGAGCACUUAAAUAAGAAUGCAUUGUGGUUUUAAUAUGUGUAUUAAAUAACGCAGAAAUAUGUACGUACAUAUAUGUAUGUAUAUGUAUGUAUGUACGCAUAAAAUUCAUAACUUAUAAACAACUCCAUAACCACGAAAUUAUCGAGCUGCCAUCAUUUGCUAAGUUUAUGCAAAUAAUAUUAAUUUGCGCAAGCCAUACAUCUGCACAUUUACACACACAAUUAAAAAUAUUUCAAGCAGUUAUUGGCAAUUUUCAUUAACAGAAAAUGUAAAAAAAAGCACGUUUUAUUUCACUGAUGCUGGCGCAGCUCUGCUAUCAGUGUCUAUGAUAAUUGAUAAUACCAUUAAAUUGCAAUUAAGAACGAAACUAAAAAUUGAAAUUAAAAUUCUAAUUUAUCUUGUGAAAUGGUUGGAUUUAUUUUAACAGCUGAUAUUUGUUUACAUAACUAAUUCGCUGCUGACUGUGAGUGGCCAGAAUGCAUUGGAUAGAGUAACGAGUGUUGAGUAACGAGUGGAGAAUGCAAAAUGUAGGCGGCACUGCGCAUAGGAAUUUUGUAAAAUAUUAAAAAAAUCUUAAGAAAAAUUUGAAAUAAAUUUGCCGAAAAAAACAAAUAACGUAAUGAAAUACAAGAUCAUCGCUAAUACAACGCAUAAAAGCAAACUAAAAUUAUUUUACGAACAUACACACAAACAUUAAGAAGGUUCUAUAACGUAAAGGGGAAGAGACAAGCAUACAUACAGUUCUAUAUAUAUUUGGAUAUUAGCUUACAUUCAAAAAAAAAAAAAAAAACAUUGCAACAUCAAUUCUUACAUAAAUAAUAUACCUACAUACAAAAUACCAAGCAUCAAAUACAAUGCGUACAUAUACUAAAUCUACAUGCAUAAAACCACAUAUUUUGUCCACAAAAUUAUACAAAAAUAAAUAUAAAAUAAAAUUAAAUGAAAAAGAAGAAGAGUAUAAAAGCAAGCAAAAAAUAUACAUACAUAAUUAUAUUGCAUAUAAUAAUGGAAGUUUUCAUAAACCCCGAAAUAAUUUCCAUAAAAAUAAAAAUAAAACAACAAACUAAUUAAAUAAUAAUAAAAAUAUGUCUAAUUAAAAAUAGUUAAAACAUGGAAAACAACAUCGCUGCGCAUAUAAUAUUAGGAAAACAAUGAACUCAUCGAAAUUUACACAUACUCACUUACAACUAAACUCAAAAUUAAUUGAAAGAAUAAGAAAUUUUCUAAUAGAACUAAAAAUUUCAAAUUCUUCCUAUAAUAAUUACAUACGUAUGUAUGUAUUUCAUUAAAACAUUAAAAAAGAAGAAGAAAAAUACAUAAUAAUGCAAAGCAACAUAUGCACUUGUGAAUACAUAUUGUAACACACACUUGCAUUCAUAUAUUCACAAAAACAGCAAUAAAUAUUUUUAUUAUAUUCAAUUUUAUUUGUUUUUUUCUUUUUGCUGGUAACCUUGUACGGACCAAAAUUUUUCUAUAGCAACCAAUGAGCACUUCAAAAGCAAUGCCUUUACAAUACACAUACAUACAUAUGUAUGUAUUACAUUAAUUAUAGAUUAGUGAUAUUUUAGUAUAAUAUGUAUAUGUAUGUAUAUCAUUUCAUAGCAUAUUAAUAGCUAAAAAUUAAUUAUUAAUUAUUUAUUAUAUACUUAUAAUAUAUUAAAUUUCAUACGCAUUUCCACCAAGAGCGAUGUUUGACAAUUAUUAAAUUUUUUUUCUUUGCAUAUUACAUACAUAUAUACGCUUUUCUUUAUAUAAAAAUAAAUAUAAAUAUAUUUGCACUUAUUCAAUAUGGAUUCAUUUUCCUAACAGAAUUAUGUAAUAACGGUCUUUUUUGUACAAAACUUACUGUGUUAAACGAAAUGUUUAAAUUCCAUUAUAUUUUGCGAAUUUGUGCUUAAAGUUUGUAUAUAUUUGAAAGUAUAAUUAUUUUUAUUGUUGUUUCUCUUAGCGAAUUUAUUAUGUAGAAAUAAUCGUAUGAAUUCCAAGCCUUUGGGAAAUUUGUUUACUAAUGUUAAUCCUAAAUGUUACCGUUAUUUAAUGGCUUUAAAACAGAUGUGUGAUAAAAUCGUCAUUAUUCUUCACUUUCAAACAAAUUUUCAAUCACUGUGAUUUUUAUACUCAUAAUUAUACCAAUAUAUAAGAAAUUUGGUUCGAGGCAAUGCUGCCAUAUUUUGGCAAAAAAUAAGUGUACAUUAAAUUCUUAAAAGUUAUGUAAUGUAAUUUAAAAAUUCUUAACUUUUCAAGUAAUCUAUUUCGUUUUUAAUUCAAAAAGGAAUUUUAAUAUUUUUCGACUUGUUAAACAGUUAUUCAAAACACUCAUAUUUACAAAUUAAAGUAAUUUUUUUUCAACUUAUACAUAUUUCUACGUGUGUAUGCGUAUAAUUUGAAUUACAAAAAUAAUAUUAUAAAAUAUCUACAGUUGAAUUGGGCUUGUGAAAAUUAAAAUGCAAUAAUUGCAUUAAAUUAUUUAUAUAUACAAUCACACACAUACACGUAUAAACACAAGCAGAAGCAAAAGAAAACACUUUACUAAAAAGCAAUCUUUUUAUGAACAUUUGAGCUACCAAACACGCCUCUAAACACACACACAUAUUCACAUAACUCACGCGUUCCAGUGCAUAUUAAACACAUACUCGUACAACUUACUUGAAUUAGACACAUUGAAUUAAUGGAAAUAUUGUCGAAUACUCAUGAAUUCAGCUAAACUACAUAUUGUUAACAAACAUAAACCCAUACAUAUAUACAUUAAACACAAUAAUGCAUGAAUUAAUACAAAGAGCUAAAUAAAAAAAGAAAACAAAGUAGAAUAACUCAAAAUAUGAUUUUUUUGAGUAUAAAACAAUUUGCAAUAUCUAAAUAAAAAAUUAUUCAACCCCAUGAUACAUACAGUAAUGUAUAUGUAUACAAACUAUAUGUAUGUAUAUGUGCAAAUGCAUUUGUUGGUAUUGAAAAUUACCAGCAAACCGAAGUAUUUUUAAUUUCAUAAUUAAUUCUACUCUAAAAAUACAGAAUAAACCAAAGAGCAAAUUGAAAUUAUACUGAAUACUUACAUACUUACACACACACAUACACACACAUACACACACACAAAAUGAAAACAAGCAGUAAAAACACAUGAAAGUGUAAAACAAAAUACUAAAUACUAAAUACCAAAUUAAUAUAUUUAAUAAAUUUGAAAUUCAUGUAGAUAUAUAACUAAUUUUAAAGAUUAAAAUAAAUUUAAAUCAAUGAACGAAAUGAUAAUAAAAGCAAAACAAGAAAAAAGUAAAACCGAAAACAACAUCAAGAAACAACAAACACUAGCCGACAAACAAAGAAAAAAUAAAUAAAAAUUAGUUAAGUAAACCAAAAGCAAAAAAAGAAAACAAACAAUAUAUUUAAUUAAGUAUGAAAAUAAAAGCAAAUAUUAAGCAAAAAGCAAAAAUAUAUAAGAAAUUAUGAAGCAUAAAAUAUAAUUAUUUAAAUAUGGAAUAGAAAAAGAAAUAAGUAAAUAAAAAAAUCAUUGACUAAUUGAAAGUGUGCUGUGGUGUGGCUAAUUUAGCACUAAAGCUGAAGAGUUUGGAAUGGUCAAUACAAACUAUUACAAACUCUUAUGGAGUGCCAUUAAUUGAAUUCUUCACAAAAUUUAGAUAAAAUAUUAUAAAUUUAUUUCUUAAAAAGAAAAACUAAAAAAAUCAAAUAAAUUGAUUGCGUUAGUAAAUAACAGCGGGAAACAUUGUAGUACUUUUUACGUGCAGCGUAAAGUUGUUGCAAAGCUAAACGUAUGUAUGUCCCAAUGUUCUGAAUGCCCGUAAGCAUUAUAUUCUUACAUGUUUCUUAAGUUCUCACCCACUAACUUGCAGCCAUAUAUGUAUGUAUGUAUUAUGAACAUCUUACUACACAAAAACAAUUUAAUCCAACAAAAAGCACGCAUACAAUAACAAUAAAUAUGUAUUCAUAAUAUUUAAUAAUUAGUAAAAACAGGAAAAUUUUACAAAGAAAAAAAAAUUCUACGAUCAUAAAUGUGCACAGCUGUGCUGACGCCCUGUGGUGUAAGUGAAAUGUAAACAAACGUUCGUGUAACAAACGUCAUCACGAUUAUGCGGCAUUCGGAUAUGUUUAAUGGGCAUUGACACAUGCUUUCAUUUAAAAUUCACUUCUUUCGACAUUCAUUCGUGUUGUAAUAUUGUGCUGGCAAGGGAUGUGCAUAUCAAACGCCUAAUUUAUAAUUAUUAUGCAAAAUUAAUUAAUUUAAUAGCAAAUACACACUCAAGUAAUUGUGUAUGUCGGUUAUACAUAUAGCGUGGAUAAAUAAAAAGAAUUAUGUAGAGGAAAACGUACUCAAAAAAAAAUAUAAAUAUUUGAUAAAUGGUAGGAAAUUUUGCAGCUAUUCUUAUAGAUUUUCAAACCUAUAACUGCCUAAAAGUUAAAAGCAAUAAACUACUAUUUAAAAGAGUUAAUAAUAUUUAUUGUGACAGAUCUAUGUGCAUAAGUAUUUAUGUAAAUCGCGUCUGAUAAGCACAUCUAAAACGAGUUGGUGCAGCAAUAUUACUGAUUGUUUCAUAGAAAAUAAUAUACAUGCAUAUGUAUGUAUGUAUAUUUUAGUUCACUAAUUAAAAUAUUUGUGUUUUUCCAACAUAUGUUCAAUAAGAAGCAAGUGAGAAUUUGUGUUUCACAUAAUGUGUACGUGUUUUUCAAGUAGCAAGCAGCAUAUCACAAGCUUUUGCUUCUAACAAAACAAAUAAGAGUUAUUAUAACAAAAUAAAAAUAUACAUAUAUAUAAUUUAUUGAAAAUAAUUACUUUUAAACCUUAUUUAUAAACUUUAAUUGUAGUGUUUAAGUUAACAUACUAAUUAAAUUGAAAAAAAAAAA